GAGUGGCGAACUGGUGAGUAACACGUGGGAAACCUGCCCAGAAGCGGGGGAUAACACCUGGAAACAGAUGCUAAUACCGCAUAACAACUUGGACCGCAUGGUCCGAGUUUGAAAGAUGGCUUCGGCUAUCACUUUUGGAUGGUCCCGCGGCGUAUUAGCUAGAUGGUGGGGUAACGGCUCACCAUGGCAAUGAUACGUAGCCGACCUGAGAGGGUAAUCGGCCACAUUGGGACUGAGACACGGCCCAAACUCCUACGGGAGGCAGCAGUAGGGAAUCUUCCACAAUGGACGAAAGUCUGAUGGAGCAACGCCGCGUGAGUGAAGAAGGGUUUCGGCUCGUAAAACUCUGUUGUUAAAGAAGAACAUAUCUGAGAGUAACUGUUCAGGUAUUGACGGUAUUUAACCAGAAAGCCACGGCUAACUACGUGCCAGCAGCCGCGGUAAUACGUAGGUGGCAAGCGUUGUCCGGAUUUAUUGGGCGUAAAGCGAGCGCAGGCGGUUUUUUAAGUCUGAUGUGAAAGCCUUCGGCUCAACCGAAGAAGUGCAUCGGAAACUGGGAAACUUGAGUGCAGAAGAGGACAGUGGAACUCCAUGUGUAGCGGUGAAAUGCGUAGAUAUAUGGAAGAACACCAGUGGCGAAGGCGGCUGUCUGGUCUGUAACUGACGCUGAGGCUCGAAAGUAUGGGUAGCAAACAGGAUUAGAUACCCUGGUAGUCCAUACCGUAAACGAUGAAUGCUAAGUGUUGGAGGGUUUCCGCCCUUCAGUGCUGCAGCUAACGCAUUAAGCAUUCCGCCUGGGGAGUACGGCCGCAAGGCUGAAACUCAAAGGAAUUGACGGGGGCCCGCACAAGCGGUGGAGCAUGUGGUUUAAUUCGAAGCUACGCGAAGAACCUUACCAGGUCUUGACAUACUAUGCAAAUCUAAGAGAUUAGACGUUCCCUUCGGGGACAUGGAUACAGGUGGUGCAUGGUUGUCGUCAGCUCGUGUCGUGAGAUGUUGGGUUAAGUCCCGCAACGAGCGCAACCCUUAUUAUCAGUUGCCAGCAUUAAGUUGGGCACUCUGGUGAGACUGCCGGUGACAAACCGGAGGAAGGUGGGGAUGACGUCAAAUCAUCAUGCCCCUUAUGACCUGGGCUACACACGUGCUACAAUGGAUGGUACAACGAGUUGCGAACUCGCGAGAGUAAGCUAAUCUCUUAAAGCCAUUCUCAGUUCGGAUUGUAGGCUGCAACUCGCCUACAUGAAGUCGGAAUCGCUAGUAAUCGCGGAUCAGCAUGCCGCGGUGAAUACGUUCCCGGGCCUUGUACACACCGCCCGUCACACCAUGAGAGUUUGUAACAC
This 1340-nucleotide ribosomal RNA is filed under the name Lactiplantibacillus plantarum. Its description in RNAcentral is "Lactobacillus plantarum 16S ribosomal RNA". It matches the Rfam family "Bacterial small subunit ribosomal RNA", at positions 93 to 1420 of the family's 1533-position model. The record is from RNAcentral. Lineage: Bacteria; Bacillati; Bacillota; Bacilli; Lactobacillales; Lactobacillaceae.